Nicrophorus vespilloides is the source of this 1773-nucleotide long non-coding RNA. RefSeq lists it as uncharacterized. The transcript is spliced from 5 exons. NCBI's taxonomy places the organism in Eukaryota, Metazoa, Arthropoda, Insecta, Coleoptera, Silphidae. The record is from RefSeq and is a predicted model, not a curated record.
GAUUUUAAAUUUUAUCUAUAAAAUCUGGGCACUUGCAUCUGGGAAGGUUCUUCUGCGCAUGACCUAAUAGAUGCAACCCUUAAUUUUAUGUCGCUUUUCCCGGGAUUCCCUAUGCAUAUAAUAUAUGUAUAUAAUAUGUAUAAGUAUAUAUACAUAUGAGUAUAUAACCGGAAACAGCUGCAUCGAUUUUCAAUUAUAUAUACAAAAUCUGGGAAGUUUCAUCUGCGCAUGAGCUGAAAGAUGCAACCCCCUCACAUACUUCCACAUCCAUCAGGAUGUGCAGGACAUUAAAUCAUAUUAGUUGUGACAACCAAGAAGUGAACACCUGUCAACUUAAUUCCAAAGUGAUUAAAGCUGUUUUAAAUACUUAUUCAAAUUAUUAAAAUUGAAGUUUUAAGUAACUGCUUGCUUAUCAGAUUUUCUUUAAGAUAGAAAAAGCGCUUUACGCUUAGAAGAAGCCAUGAACUCAGCGUUGAGUAAUGUUAUCAUCGUGAACCCCGAGAAGAGGAACAAUGAUCAGAUACCCGAGAAGCCGGAAAAAACUGAGAAAUCGAAAGCAUCUUCAUCGCGAAUGAAGAUGCUCGUCAUCGACUACGUAUACGUGGCUAAACUGGACAAAAUCAAAAAGACAUGGAGCAUCGAGAAGAUUCAGAAACAAAAGCUUGUUGCAUUAUUGCGCAACAAGAACAACAAGCGUAUUUGAUUAGCUAUAAUGUAUCACAUUAUGAAGAAACUUAAAAAAAUAUAGUAUGUAAAUGUAAUAUUGUAGUGUUGAGUAACCGAAAAAAUGCUUCAUUUAAUUUUUCUAUAUUUAUAUACACAUAUAUCUUUAUAUUGCAUAUAUGCUAUGUAGAUGCAUUUGCAACGGCUGAUAAUGUUUUAAGCCUAUUUUCUAUAUUAUAUUCACAUUUUUGUAGAUUGAAUAUUACAUAGUGUUAGAAUGAACGAAAUAGUUAAAAAAAAAACGAAUUUCAGGGAUAAUGGUGGUUUUGUAUGUUGUAUAUACUCAUCAGAAAUUUAUAAAUCAACCCUCUGUAGACAAGUGGCGCAUUUAUCCGCCCAACAUUUUAUAAAGCGAUUAUUUAGAUUCUGACCGCACGCGUCAAAUUGCUCAAAAAAUCUGAUGGAUAUAUUUAAUGUAUACAAGAUCACCACCCCUUAAAAAAUAAAUGUCAUGUAAUAAUAAUAAAUAAAAAAAUUUCAGGUCGAGUCCUGGAAGAAGUUCCUGGAUCCAAAAUCCAGGUUCACGGAGAUUCCACUCCGUAACAUGCAGGGAUUCAGGUUUUAUCCUUGCAUGUAUUUUAGGUCCGAGGUCCCAAGAUGGAUGUCCAUCACCACCUCCGCUACGAACACCGACAUAUAGGUUUCGGGUUCGUUUUUUUGCGGAGGUUGAAGUGGUGAUGCCAGUAUUAAGAUAAGUAUUUUUGUAUUAUAUUCUAGAAUGAGUAGUCGAUAUUAAAUUGAAGGACGACACCCAUUCGAUUCUCAAUAUGUUCAUAGGCAAACAGUUUUUGAUGAUGUUUUUUCUUCUUCUAUUUUUGAGGUUGUCAACACCAAGAGAUGUGCAGGGAUAUUCUACUUUUAGGUACGUGUUAUGCAUUUUUUUACCGAACAAAGAGAAAAAUAAUAAUUCAAAGAAAACUAUGUAAUAUUCUAUAAAAGCAUUUGAGAGAAAAGGUUACCAUUCACAAAUAACUAUCAAUACUACAUAUUUUGUAAUAUACAUGUUUGGUGUUGUGUGUACUUUUGUAUUAAAACUUGUAAUGAAGAAAA